Molecule: unclassified non-coding RNA, 236 nt
Filed under: Hevea brasiliensis (rubber tree)
Lineage: Eukaryota; Viridiplantae; Streptophyta; Magnoliopsida; Malpighiales; Euphorbiaceae
Source: RNAcentral
GUUUUUCACUGGGGGAUCUAAACAAUAAGCGGAGGCGGCGCGAUCUCAACAACGGCGUGGAGGGGCUGAACCACUGUGUUUCUAAGAGAUAUACAGAGAGAAGUAACUCUGAUUGCUCGGAAAGACGAGAGAGCGCGAGAGGGAGGGAGCGGCGGCGAGCUCGUCGGAAGAAUAAAAUUGCCGCACCUGAGAGUGCAGCGACGGUGUCGGGCAGGAGCGGCGGCGGUGUGCAGUGG